This 24-nucleotide non-coding RNA is filed under the name Cricetulus griseus (Chinese hamster). Lineage: Eukaryota; Metazoa; Chordata; Mammalia; Rodentia; Cricetidae. The record is from RNAcentral.
AGACGAGAACUAUGGUGAAGGCUC